RNAcentral lists this ribosomal RNA (301 nucleotides) under uncultured bacterium. RNAcentral describes it as "partial 16S ribosomal RNA". It matches the Rfam family "Bacterial small subunit ribosomal RNA", at positions 509 to 809 of the family's 1533-position model. The record is from RNAcentral.
CAGUCGCCGCGGUAAAACGUAGGGUGCGAGCGUUAAUCGGAAUUACUGGGCGUAAAGCGUGCGCAGGCGGUUUUGUAAGACAGGCGUGAAAUCCCCGGGCUCAACCUGGGAAUGGCGCUUGUGACUGCAAAGCUAGAGUGCGGCAGAGGGGGAUGGAAUUCCGCGUGUAGCAGUGAAAUGCGUAGAUAUGCGGAGGAACACCGAUGGCGAAGGCAAUCCCCUGGGCCUGCACUGACGCUCAUGCACGAAAGCGUGGGGAGCAAACAGGAUUAGAUACCCCCGUAGUCCCUGUCUCUUAUAU